Molecule: ribosomal RNA, 305 nt
Filed under: uncultured bacterium
Lineage: Bacteria
Description: partial 16S ribosomal RNA
Rfam family: Bacterial small subunit ribosomal RNA
Source: RNAcentral
CCUACGGGGGGCAGCAGUGGGGAAUAUUGGACAAUGGGGGGAACCCUGAUCCAGCGACGCCGCGUGAGUGAAGAAGUAUUUCGGUAUGUAAAGCUCUAUCAGCAGGGAAGAAAGAAAUGACGGUACCUGACUAAGAAGCCCCGGCUAACUACGUGCCAGCAGCCGCGGUAAUACGUAGGGGGCAAGCGUUAUCCGGAUUUACUGGGUGUAAAGGGAGCGUAGACGGCGAUGCAAGUCUGAAGUGAAAGGCGGGGGCCCAACCCCCGGACUGCUUUGGAAACUGUAUGGCUGGAGUGCAGGAGAGG